GACGAACGCUGGCGGCGUGCUUAACACAUGCAAGUCGAACGGGCCUUGUCCCCUUUUUUUUUGGGGGUGGGGUUAGUGGCGAACGGGUGAGUAACACGUGAGUAACCUGCCCCUCACUUCUGGAUAACCGCUUGAAAGGGUGGCUAAUACGGGGUGUUCUGGCCUGCUCGCAUGGGUGGGUUUGGAAAGAUUCGACCGGUUUGGUUGUUUUGGUGGGGGAUGGGCUCGCGGCCUAUCAGCUUGUUGGUGGGGUGAUGGCCUGCCAAGGCUUUGACGGGUAGCCGGCCUGAGAGGGUGGGCGGUCACACUGGGACUGAGACACGGCCCAGACUCCUACGGGAGGCAGCAGUGGGGAAUAUUGCACAAUGGGCGCAAGCCUGAUGCAGCGACGCCGCGUGAGGGAUGGAGGCCUUCGGGGUGUGAACCUCUUUCGCCAGUGAAGAAGGUCCUGCUCUUUGUGGUGGGGUUGACGGUAGCUGGGUUAAUGAAGCGCCGGCUAACUACGUG
Molecule: ribosomal RNA, 507 nt
Filed under: uncultured bacterium
Lineage: Bacteria
Description: partial 16S ribosomal RNA
Rfam family: Bacterial small subunit ribosomal RNA
Source: RNAcentral